This 584-nucleotide ribosomal RNA is filed under the name uncultured bacterium. RNAcentral describes it as "partial 16S ribosomal RNA". It matches the Rfam family "Bacterial small subunit ribosomal RNA", at positions 355 to 1375 of the family's 1533-position model. The record is from RNAcentral.
UGGGGAAUUUUGGACAAUGGGCGAAAGCCUGAUCCAGCAAUGCCGCGUGUGUGAAGAAGGCCUUCGGGUUGUAAAGCACUUUUGUCCGGAAAGAAAUCCUUGGCUCUAAUACAGUCGGGGGAUGACGGUACCGGAAGAAUAAGCACCGGCUAACUACGUGCCAGCAGCCGCGGUAAUACGUAGGGUGCAAGCGUUAAUCGGAAUUACUGGGCGUAAAGCGUGCGCAGGCGGUUUGCUAAGACCGAUGUGAAAUCCCCGGGCUCAACCUGGGAACUGCAUUGGUGACUGGCAGGCUAGAGUAUGGCAGAGGGGGGUAGAAUUCCACGUGUAGCAGUGAAAUGCGUAGAGAUGUGGAGGAAUACCGAUGGCGAAGGCAGCCCCCUGGGCCAAUACUGACGCUCAUGCACGAAAGCGUGGGGAGCAAACAGGAUUAGAUACCCUGGUAGUCCACGCCCUAAACGAUGUCAACAGUUGUUGGGGAUUCAUUUCCUUAGUAACGUAGCUAACGCGUGAAGUUGACCGCCUGGGGAGUACGGUCGCAAGAUUAAAACUCAAAGGAAUUGACGGGGUCAUAGCUGUUUCCU